Equus caballus (horse) is the source of this 2219-nucleotide long non-coding RNA. The record is from Ensembl. Lineage: Eukaryota; Metazoa; Chordata; Mammalia; Perissodactyla; Equidae.
AAAGAAGUGGGGUGCGCAGAGUAGUUAUAUACCCCCAAACAGGAUGUUUCAUAUAGGAUUGAAGUCUCCCUUUUACAAUAGUCGCAAGACUCCUCUGUUGGCACAGCGAUUGAUGGAAACAACAGAUAGGUCUGCUGUCUCGGUGAACACAGCAGGGUGACAGGUCUGUUGUCUCAAGCUGGGUGGUCACAGGUGACCUGGGUGGUCAAAGGUCACUGCUGACAUCGAAGAUGAGAAUGAUGAAACACCUGUCUGCACAUCUGCUCUAUAUGAGGCAGUCAUUUUUGACAAUGUUGUUGCUGGGACAAACGUCAGUGGCUUCAAACUAAACUACCAUGACAGGGAUUCAUAAGAUUUUGAAAUGCACUUCGAGCUGGUCUCUGUUUCUGGGAAUGUGCAUGAAUAUGACAGCAAAACAGGUGCAAGAAAGUGGAAGAAGCCCCCAGGCAGGAGGAGGAGUCCUUGGCAAGCAUAUACUCCCUCCUAGAUGCCCACCCUUCUGAGAAGUCUACAUCCUUAAAAAUUCCUAUGCAAGGAUAGCGUUUUCCUGCGUCUCUGAGUGAGUGCCUUUUUGCGUAUGUCACUGUCACAGGCAGUUUUUUCCUUGGCUAUCUAAAAUUAAAUUGUAGAUGUGAGGCCAACUGCUUUGUGUUUCCAGCUCUCUAUAAUCUUCCAGUUCAGGGUGUCUGGGUGAGGGCAGCAGGAGUGGUCAACCUUAAGUCUCUGAAUAUGUUUUACUGAAACUAGAGACUAAAUUGACAUAUGUUCAUUGUCUGACUUUGCCCUGAGGAACGUAUGCUUGUUAUGACUGCAGACUUUGUUUUGGUCUCUGCUAUAGCCCCAGCACAUGCUUGGCACAUAGUGGGGCCCCCAUACAUAUUUGGCGACUAAAUGAAUUUGAAUAUAUGAAUUUAGGUCUCUUGCCUUUAAUUCAAAUUGCUUAUUACUCCCACGGAACAGAAAUGGGAUUCUUUAGAAAAGAACUUUUUUGGUUACCGAUAGUCAUAAAAAUGCAAGAUUUUUUUCCAGCAUUUCUAAAAAACACAAUUGAUCUUGCUUUUAAUUUUCCUUUUAUAGCACUAUGGAAAAUGGCCACUUGAAAACUUUAUUUAUUAAUGCCUUGCCAAAGAAAUGUCAGAAUCCGGACUUUUGAGAGCUAUGUACUUGGACAAAUAAGUUUUAAAAUACAUGUUCUCUGAUGCUCUCUCUCUCAGCUGCCAGAAGACCCACGAUAGCAGAAGACCAGCAGGGUUGUUGAUGGUAGAAGUUAACCCCACAUUUAACCCAAGAUAGAGUUCAACUUGGGAUAAUUUUGUUUUAACAAAUCUUAUUGAAAGUAAAACACACCACGAGCAAUGAGCUAACAUCUGAGUCAGAGGAUACCAGGGGCUUGUUGGUCAGAAAUGCCUUGAUAUUUAUCCCCUUUUGCGUGUGCACACACAGACAAUUCCUUUUCAGUCUGGGGGCACCUCACCUCCCAACGAGAGCGAGCACCUGAAAAUAAACAGGCUCUUCUUUUGCUUAUGUCUAGCUCAGGUCGAUCCUCAGGAGGCAUUAUGAUGUGGAGGACAUCAGCGGAUUUGAAGUCAUGUAGCCUUUCCGAAGAUCAGCUUUCUUCUAGAAAAUGUACGCAAUAAUUCCUGCCCUAUUUCUAUCUCAUAGUUUGGUUGUGAGGAACAACAUAAAACAAUUGAGAUUCUACAUCUGGCAUUGCUUUUUAAACUGUAAGCACUAUUUAAGCGUAAAAUAGAAUUAGUUUCAUUAAGUCAAAAUUGGCUGCUGAGAGAGCAGUGGCAUGGCAUACAGAGAGGGUGACUCCAUGCUUCUAAGCCAGUCUCCUUUGGAAUUGGUUGGUAAUUAGCUUCACAACUUCUGUGAAAGGAGUAUACUGCCUUGUUCCAGAUGGCAGGAUAAUUCUUCGCCAGGGGAGAGAGCAAAGAUUGGGAAAAUGCUCUCUCCUCUCCAGCAAGGCUCUCGCUGGAUCAAUUACGGUUAGAUGGAUGUAGAUGUGUGAAUUUCCAUCUGCCACCACCUGAGUUUUAGAGGGGGGGAAAGCAUUUAUAAACUUCCUUUUCAAUGUCUGGAUUGAAUUAAUUAACAUUGAAACUGCCUGUUCCAGAAUCAAGAAAAAUUAAGUUGGCAUUUGCUUUCCUCUGUUUAGUUGUUUGGGGUCUCAGUUUCAGACAUGACCAAGAGACAAUACACAAGCUGGAGGCAAC